UCAGGUAGAGAAUACCAAGGCGCUUGAGAGAACUCGGGUGAAGGAACUAGGCAAAAUGGUGCCGUAACUUCGGGAGAAGGCACGCUGAUGUGUAGGUGAAGCCCCUGCGGGUGGAGCUGAAAUCAGUCGAAGAUACCAGCUGGCUGCAACUGUUUAUUAAAAACACAGCACUGUGCAAACACGAAAGUGGACGUAUACGGUGUGACGCCUGCCCGGUGCCGGA
RNAcentral lists this ribosomal RNA (223 nucleotides) under Enterobacter hormaechei. RNAcentral's name for it is "partial 23S ribosomal RNA". It matches the Rfam family "Bacterial large subunit ribosomal RNA", at positions 1667 to 1873 of the family's 2925-position model. Lineage: Bacteria; Pseudomonadati; Pseudomonadota; Gammaproteobacteria; Enterobacterales; Enterobacteriaceae. The record is from RNAcentral.